RNAcentral lists this long non-coding RNA (344 nucleotides) under Citrus maxima (pomelo). Its description in RNAcentral is "long non-coding RNA (CMAX_LNC004336)". Lineage: Eukaryota; Viridiplantae; Streptophyta; Magnoliopsida; Sapindales; Rutaceae. The record is from RNAcentral.
CUUUUUCUUUAUUCACGGGUUCCGUCGUUCCCAUUGCUUCUCGAUUAAUGGUUAGGUCUGAAUUCUCCAACGGAGCCCUUAAUGAAAUUUUUUCUUAAGUCAAUUUCUCAGUUUUUAUUGGCUCGGGGCUCUUGAUUUUUUUUUGUUCUAUGAGCGGAUUCAUCUAGUUAGGGAUGAAUCAUUAUUGAUGCUAUAUUACACUGUUUUUUAUGAGAUGACUUACAGACCUUACAUAUUGGAAUCUUAUAUCAUUGAUAUUUUCUUUCUCUCUUUCUCUCAUCCUUCCAUUUAUCCGCAUGCUUUUCGAUUUUCUUUCACAACUUCGAACUUCACAACCUACAAUC